This 461-nucleotide ribosomal RNA is filed under the name uncultured bacterium. RNAcentral's name for it is "SSU rRNA". It matches the Rfam family "Bacterial small subunit ribosomal RNA", at positions 26 to 518 of the family's 1533-position model. The record is from RNAcentral.
AGAAUCAACGCUGGCGGCGUGCCUAACACAUGCAAGUCGAACGAGAAAGUGGGAGCAAUCCCACGAGUAAAGUGGCGCACGGGUGAGUAACACGUGACUAACCUACCCUUGAGUGGGGGGAUAACCUAGGGAAACCUGGGCUAAUACCGCAUAAUACCUACGGGUCAAAGGAGCAAUUCGCUUAAGGAGGGGGUCGCGGCAGAUUAGUUAGUUGGCGGGGUAAUGGCCCACCAAGACAGUGAUCUGUAUCCGGCCUGAGAGGGCGCACGGACACACUGGAACUGAAACACGGUCCAGACUCCUACGGGAGGCAGUAGUGGGGAAUUUUGCGCAAUGGGGAAACCCUGACGCAGCAACGCCGCGUGGAGGAUGAAGCCCUUGGGGCGUAAACUCCUUUCGAUCGGGAAGAUAAUGACGGUACCGGAAGAAGAAGCCCCGGCUAACUUCGUGCCAGCAGCCGC